RNAcentral lists this ribosomal RNA (468 nucleotides) under uncultured bacterium. RNAcentral's name for it is "partial 16S ribosomal RNA". It matches the Rfam family "Bacterial small subunit ribosomal RNA", at positions 28 to 507 of the family's 1533-position model. The record is from RNAcentral.
GACGAACGCUGGCGGCGUGCUUAACACAUGCAAGUCGAACGGAAAGGCCCUGCUUUUGUGGGGUGCUCGAGUGGCGAACGGGUGAGUAACACGUGAGUAACCUCCCCUUGACUUUGGGGUAACUUCAGGGAACUGGGGCUAAUACCGGGUAUGAGCACCUGCUGCAUGGUGGGGGUUGGUAAGUUUCGGCGGUUGGGGAUGGACUCGCGGCUUAGCAGCUUGUUGGUGGGGUAGUGGCUUACCAAGGCUUUGACGGGUAGCCGGCCUGGGAGGGUGACCGGCCACAUUGGGACUGAGAUACGGCCAAGACUCCUACGGGAGGCAGCAGUGGGAAAUAUUGCACAAUGGGCGGAAGCCUGAUGCAGCAACGCCGCGUGCGGGAUGACGGCCUUCGGGUUGUAAACCGCUUUCGCCUGUGACGAAGCGUGAGUGACGGUAAUGGGUAAAGAAGCACCGGCUAACUACGUG